AAGUUUGGGGUAGGGGUACUAGAGAACUUAAAAAAAAAAAGAUAAUAAUAACAAGAGACUCACAAAAAUAAUUGAGUUUUCUUCAAAAAAUAAAGAGUCAUUAAUCAUGAAAAAUAGUGGCAUCUUCAAAAAAAAAAGAGAAAAAAAAAUUGAAAGAUAAGUUCUCUAAGUACCUAAUUAACAAUGAAUUGAGUCCCGAUAAUGGUAAUUUUUCAACAAGGAAGGAAUAGUAGUAGAUAUCUAACUCCAAUUUAACCUACUUUUCCCAAAAUUAUCCCACCAUUUACCCAAGCCAAGUUAUAACCCUCAAGACCUCAAAAAUGUGUGUGAUGUAUUUACUUUGAUUGACGUUUAGAAUUUUUUCAAGCUUAUGGUAAAAUAGCAAUUGCA
RNAcentral lists this long non-coding RNA (390 nucleotides) under Trifolium pratense (red clover). RNAcentral describes it as "long non-coding RNA (TPRA_LNC009191)". The record is from RNAcentral. Lineage: Eukaryota; Viridiplantae; Streptophyta; Magnoliopsida; Fabales; Fabaceae.